AGUGGAUGGGGAGCAACCUAGUUGUGCGUGUGUAAAGGUAGUGCCAAGAAAAGCGGUGAUCAUGAUGAAAAUCAAUUCCCGGUACCCGAAACCGACACAGGUGGGCAAGUAGAGAAUACUAAGGGGCGCGAGGUAACUCUCUCCAAGGAACUCGGCAAAAUGACCCCGUAACUUAGGGAGAAGGGGUGCCACCGAGAGGUGGUCGCAGUGAAGAGGCCCAGGCGACUGUUUAGCAAAAACAUAGGUCUCUGCAAACUCGAAAGAGGAGGUAUAGGGGCUGACGCCUGCCCAGUGCCGGAAGGUUAAAGAAGUUGGUCAGUCUUAGGAUGAAGCUAGCGACUGAAGCCCCGGUGAACGGCGGCCGUAACUAUAACGGUCCUAAGGUAGCGAAAUUCCUUGUCGGGUAAGUUCCGACCCGCACGAAAGGCGUAACGAUCUGGGCGCUGUCUCGGAGAGAGGCUCGGCGAAAUAGGAUUGUCUGUGAAGAUACGGACUACCUGCAUUUGGACAGAAAGACCCUAUGAAGCUUUACUACAGCUUGGAAUUGUGUUCGGGCUUCCUGUGCGCAGGAUAGGUGGGAGGCGUAGAAGGUAUUCUUGUGGGGAUACUGGAGCCAACGGUGAGAUACCACUCUCAGGAGGCUAGAAUUCUAACUUAAUUAAGGACAGUUUCAGGUGGGUAGUUUGACUGGGGCGGUCGCCUCCAAAAAGGUAACGGAGGCGUACAAAGGUUCCCUCAGACUGGUUGGAAAUCAGUCGAAGAGUGCAAAGGCAGAAGGGAGCUUGACUGCGAGAAGUACAGUUCGAGCAGGGUGGAAACACGGUCUUAGUGAUCCGACGGUGCUGUGUGGAAGGGCCGUCGCUCAACGGAUAAAAGUUACUCUAGGAUAACAGGCUGAUCUCCCCCAAGAGUUCACAUCGACGGGGAGGUUUGGCACCUCGAUGUCGGCUCAUCGCAACCUGGGGCGGAAGUACGUCCCAAGGGUUGGGCUGUUCGCCCAUUAAAGCGGUACGUGAGCUGGGUUCAGAACGUCGUGAGACAGUUCGGUCCAUAUCCGAUGUAGGCGUGAGAAUAUUGAGAGGAGCCUUCCUUAGUACGAGAGGACCGGGAAGGACGCACCGCUGGUGUACCUGUUAUGAUGCCAAUUGUAAACGCAGGGUAGCCAAGUGCGGGGAGGAUAACCGCUGAAAGCAUCUAAGUGGGAAGCCCACCUCAAGAUGAGUAUUCUGGUGUAAGGUCACGGGAAGACGACCCGUAAAUAGGCACGAGGUGGAAGUGCAGAGAUGUAUGAGGCCGAAGUGUACUAAUAGACCGUCGGCUUGACC
RNAcentral lists this ribosomal RNA (1325 nucleotides) under metagenome. Its description in RNAcentral is "bacterial LSU rRNA". It matches the Rfam family "Bacterial large subunit ribosomal RNA", at positions 1561 to 2925 of the family's 2925-position model. The record is from RNAcentral.